Molecule: non-coding RNA, 110 nt
Organism: Colinus virginianus (northern bobwhite)
Lineage: Eukaryota; Metazoa; Chordata; Aves; Galliformes; Odontophoridae
Source: Rfam
UGGGGAUAUGAAACAAGAGCAGGACAGCACUCCUUUUGAUAAGGAUGGAAGAAAUCUUAAUGGACUUAAUCACGUUAAGACUAUCACUUACUUUGAUACUUCUAAUUUAU